This 358-nucleotide ribosomal RNA is filed under the name uncultured Sphingobacteriales bacterium. RNAcentral's name for it is "bacterial SSU rRNA". It matches the Rfam family "Bacterial small subunit ribosomal RNA", at positions 1026 to 1382 of the family's 1533-position model. Lineage: Bacteria; Pseudomonadati; Bacteroidota; Sphingobacteriia; Sphingobacteriales. The record is from RNAcentral.
ACACUCUUCAAGGUGCUGCAUGGUUGUCGUCAGCUCGUGCCGUGAGGUGUCGGGUUAAGUCCCACUAACGAGCGCAACCCUUACCGUUAGUUACCAUCAGGUUAAGCUGGGGACUCUAGCGGGACUGCCACCGUAAGGUGAGAGGAAGGUGGGGAUGACGUCAAAUCAGCACGGCCCUUAUGUCCAGGGCUACACACGUGUUACAAUGGCCGGUACAAAGGGCAGCUACUUCGCGAGAAGAUGCUAAUCUCGAAAGCCGGUCUCAGUUCGGAUCGAAGUCUGCAACCCGACUUCGUGAAGCUGGAUUCGCUAGUAAUCGCGCAUCAGCCAUGGCGCGGUGAAUACGUUCCCGGGCCUU